This 872-nucleotide ribosomal RNA is filed under the name Chrysocrypta corymbiae. Its description in RNAcentral is "eukaryotic LSU rRNA". It matches the Rfam family "Eukaryotic large subunit ribosomal RNA", at positions 37 to 939 of the family's 3401-position model. The record is from RNAcentral. Lineage: Eukaryota; Fungi; Ascomycota; Sordariomycetes; Diaporthales; Erythrogloeaceae.
AGCAUAUCAAUAAGCGGAGGAAAAGAAACCAACAGGGAUUGCCCUAGUAACGGCGAGUGAAGCGGCAACAGCUCAAAUUUGAAAUCUGGCUUCGGCCCGAGUUGUAAUUUGCAGAGGAUGUUUCUGGCGCGGUGCCUUCCGAGUUCCCUGGAACGGGACGCCAUAGAGGGUGAGAGCCCCGUAUGGUUGGACACCAAGCCUGUGUGAAACUCCUUCGACGAGUCGAGUAGUUUGGGAAUGCUGCUCAAAAUGGGAGGUAAAUCUCUUCUAAAGCUAAAUACCGGCCAGAGACCGAUAGCGCACAAGUAGAGUGAUCGAAAGAUGAAAAGCACCUUGAAAAGGGGGUUAAACAGUACGUGAAAUUGUUGAAAGGGAAGCACUCGUGACCAGACUCGUGCCGGGCGGCUCAUCCGGGGUUCUCCCCGGUGCACUCCGCCCGGUGUAGGCCAGCAUCGGUUCUUUCUGGGGGAUAAGAGCAGUGGGAAUGUGGCCCUCCCUCGGGAGGGUGUUAUAGCCCGCUGCAUGAUACCCUGGAGGGGACCGAGGUUCGCGCUCCGCAAGGAUGCUGGCGUAAUGGUUACCAGUGACCCGUCUUGAAACACGGACCAAGGAGUCGUCCAUUAGAGCGAGCGUUUGGGUGUCAAACCCGCACGCGUAAUGAAAGUGAAAUUAGGUGAGAGCUUCGGCGCAUCAUCGACCGAUCCUGAUGUUCUCGGAUGGAUUUGAGUAAGAGUUUUAACGGACGGACCCGAAAGACAGUGAACUAUGCUUGUAUAGGGUGAAGCCAGAGGAAACUCUGGUGGAGGCUCGCAGCGGUUCUGACGUGCAAAUCGAUCGUCAAAUAUGAGCAUGGGGGCGAAAGACUAAUCGAA